RNAcentral lists this long non-coding RNA (1705 nucleotides) under Mus musculus (house mouse). RNAcentral describes it as "long non-coding RNA chr16:45128573-45130278". Lineage: Eukaryota; Metazoa; Chordata; Mammalia; Rodentia; Muridae. The record is from RNAcentral.
AGUGCAGAAAUGGGUAGGGAGACGCUUGAUUCCUGCCAGUCUCAAGUCUCAGAUUCCUCAGGUUUAAGCUCACUCAACUUUACUAGUUCUUCUGUCUAGUACAUGGUCCUACCACAGCUACACAAUGUGUUGUAGCUUUUAUUGGUACUUCAUACAUAAACUCCUUUGGCCUGCUUCUCAUCAUGAACUGUCUUCAGACAGACAAAGGAGAACAUGAAUGGGCCCCAUUCUAGAAACAUUCCUAAAUUUGAGAAGACCAAGUUGGGAUUUACUGAAAGACCUGGCUUAGGCAAGCAAUGAUUUGACAUUACCAUUCUUAAUCAUGAUAUUACCCUAAAGGUUAGACUCCAUGUAGAAUGAAUGAUUAAAACAAUUUAUGCUACUUCCUAUACAGUCUGCUAGAAUACAGCACACAAAACUGAAAAAUACAUCUCCUUAUACAUAAACCUAGACAAGCAGAGAACAGCUACAGAGAUGGCUAAUUGUUAUGGUAGGCAUGAGACGGAGAGAAAGGGGAGGAUGCACCAGCCAGGGAGAAAUGAGGUGGAACUGCAGUUUGGUUGUUAUCUGGAUGAUUACACUGGUUUCCCUGCAAGUUUCCCAUGAUCUUGCCAGGUGUCUCCAUCAUCAUCAUGGUCAAUGGUCAAUGGUCAAUUGAUUUUAAAUCCUCACAAUAUGGGCACAACUUCCCUGGUAAGGCCACAUAUUUCUCAGCUUUAAAAACGUUUGUUUGUUUGUUUGUUUGUUUUAUAUCCAGGAAAGAUGCAGAUACUAAUACUAACUCAUUUAUAAAUGCUGCCUUCUAUUCUCUUGAACUAAACACAAAUGAAAAAUAGUAAGCACAUUAGAGUCCAUUUCAUCAAAGUUGAACUCAGGGAACAGUCUAUUGCCCAGGAUGCCAGAAGCCUUGGGUUUCUUUAACCUCUGGCACUGUAAACAAACAAAAACAACAUAUGCACUUGGGAAAUCUUUGCAGAGUGGAAUGUUUUUAUAUACAAAACAUAGAAAGUAUUAAGCCUAAAAUACAAAAAUACUUUGCAUACUCUAUUUAAACCACACACACGAUGAAUAUUAAAAUCUAUAAAAUAUAAGUCUGAAAAUUCUAGUCAUUGUUUUUAUAGCUCCAAGUAGAGCUAAGUUGCUCUAAGGUACUUCAUUUAACCCAAUUGACUUCUUAUCAAAACAGGGGGCUCACUCCAAAACAGACAAGCAAAGGUAAAAGCCAAGUGAAACGGUGCCUCAUGUACCGUAGAUGGCAUUCCUGCUAUCUUUGUGGAAGUGGGCCUUAGGGAGUUUUUACCAAUUCAGAAGAAAAAUAACCAGCCACCAUGCCCCUACUGUAAAGUCUACAGCCUCUGCCCCUCUUCCUCUUUGAGGCAUCUAUCUCAAAGCCCAUCAAACGGUAUUCAAGCAAAGAGGGACACCAUGAGAGAUACUCUUCCUACAUUCAGUUGAGCAAAUCGCAGGCUCAACAGGGAUGUGAAGCUAUGUUUACAGUACACAGAAAACAAGGGACCUGUUAAAAAGACAGCUCAACAGCAGGGUAAAAUAGCCCACUUUGGGGGGAAAGGCAUAUUUUUUGCAUGUACAAACAAACCUAUACACGUGAAUAUUUACAUUGGGUAGAAAACCUUUACUUUUCUUCUUACUGCUUUCUUUUGCUUUCUAAUUAUCAUAAGCAAUAUUAAAAAUAUAAUAAAUAUAU